GCAGUCGAGCGGAACGAGUUAUCUGAACCUUCGGGGAACGAUAACGGCGUCGAGCGGCGGACGGGUGAGUAAUGCCUAGGAAAUUGCCCUGAUGUGGGGGAUAACCAUUGGAAACGAUGGCUAAUACCGCAUGAUGCCUACGGGCCAAAGAGGGGGACCUUCGGGCCUCUCGCGUCAGGAUAUGCCUAGGUGGGAUUAGCUAGUUGGUGAGGUAAGGGCUCACCAAGGCGACGAUCCCUAGCUGGUCUGAGAGGAUGAUCAGCCACACUGGAACUGAGACACGGUCCAGACUCCUACGGGAGGCAGCAGUGGGGAAUAUUGCACAAUGGGCGCAAGCCUGAUGCAGCCAUGCCGCGUGUGUGAAGAAGGCCUUCGGGUUGUAAAGCACUUUCAGUCGUGAGGAAGGUGGUGUAGUUAAUAGCUGCAUCAUUUGACGUUAGCGACAGAAGAAGCACCGGCUAACUCCGUGCCAGCAGCCGCGGUAAUACGGAGGGUGCGAGCGUUAAUCGGAAUUACUGGGCGUAAAGCGCAUGCAGGUGGUUUGUUAAGUCAGAUGUGAAAGCCCGGGGCUCAACCUCGGAAUAGCAUUUGAAACUGGCAGACUAGAGUACUGUAGAGGGGGGUAGAAUUUCAGGUGUAGCGGUGAAAUGCGUAGAGAUCUGAAGGAAUACCGGUGGCGAAGGCGGCCCCCUGGACAGAUACUGACACUCAGAUGCGAAAGCGUGGGGAGCAAACAGGAUUAGAUACCCUGGUAGUCCACGCCGUAAACGAUGUCUACUUGGAGGUUGUGGCCUUGAGCCGUGGCUUUCGGAGCUAACGCGUUAAGUAGACCGCCUGGGGAGUACGGUCGCAAGAUUAAAACUCAAAUGAAUUGACGGGGGCCCGCACAAGCGGUGGAGCAUGUGGUUUAAUUCGAUGCAACGCGAAGAACCUUACCUACUCUUGACAUCCAGAGAACUUUCCAGAGAUGGAUUGGUGCCUUCGGGAACUCUGAGACAGGUGCUGCAUGGCUGUCGUCAGCUCGUGUUGUGAAAUGUUGGGUUAAGUCCCGCAACGAGCGCAACCCUUAUCCUUGUUUGCCAGCGAGUAAUGUCGGGAACUCCAGGGAGACUGCCGGUGAUAAACCGGAAGAAGGUGGGGACGACGUCAAGUCAUCAUGGCCCUUA
RNAcentral lists this ribosomal RNA (1166 nucleotides) under Vibrio sp. RNAcentral's name for it is "bacterial SSU rRNA". It matches the Rfam family "Bacterial small subunit ribosomal RNA", at positions 57 to 1204 of the family's 1533-position model. The record is from RNAcentral. Lineage: Bacteria; Pseudomonadati; Pseudomonadota; Gammaproteobacteria; Vibrionales; Vibrionaceae.